UUCAACGGCCGCGGUAUCCUAACCGUGCGUAGGUAGCAUAAUCACUUGUUCUUUAAAUAAGGACUAGUAUCAACGGCAUCACGAGGACUGUACUGUCUCCUUUCCCCAAUCUAUGAAACUAAUCUCCCCGUGAAGAAGCGGGGAUAAAAAUAUAAGACGAGAUGACCCCAUGGAGCUUUAAAUUCAACAGGCACCCUUUUACAAACUAAUCCACAGAAUUUUGAUACCCCCUGCCUGUUAAUUUUUGGUUGGGGUGACCGCGGAGCAUAAUGAAACCUCCACAACGAACAAGACACUAACCUUAUCAAAGAGCCACAACUCUAUGAAUCAAAAAAUUGACGUAAAAUGACCCGACAUUCGAUUAAUGAAACAAGUUACCCUGGGGAUAACAGCGCAAUCUACUUUGAGAGCCCCUAUCGACAAGUAGGCUUACGACCUCGAUGUUGGAUCAGGAUAUCCCAGUGGUGCAGCCGCUACUAAAGGUUCGUUUGUUCAACGAUUAAAAUCCUACGUGAUC
This 517-nucleotide ribosomal RNA is filed under the name Nyctibatrachus minor (Kerala night frog). RNAcentral describes it as "partial large subunit ribosomal RNA". It matches the Rfam family "Bacterial large subunit ribosomal RNA", at positions 1923 to 2605 of the family's 2925-position model. The record is from RNAcentral. Lineage: Eukaryota; Metazoa; Chordata; Amphibia; Anura; Nyctibatrachidae.